UGAGGAAUAUUGGUCAAUGGGCGCAAGCCUGAACCAGCCAUCCCGCGUGAAGGAAGAAUGCGCUAUGCGUUGUAAACUUCUUUUCCAGGGGAAUAAAAUUUCGUACGCGUACGGGACUGAAGGUACCUUGGGAAUAAGCAUCGGCUAACUCCGUGCCAGCAGCCGCGGUAAUACGGAGGAUGCGAGCGUUAUCCGGAUUUAUUGGGUUGAAAGGGUGCGUAGGCGGAAAAAUAAGUCAGUGGUGAAAACCUUCAGCUUAACUGGAGACUUGCCAUUGAUACUGUUAUUCUUGAGUAUGGUUAAGGUAGGCGGAAUGUGUAAUGUAGCGGUGAAAUGCUUAGAUAUUACACAGAACACCAAUUGCGAAGGCAGCUUACUGAGCCAAAACUGACGCUGAUGCACGAAAGCGUGGGGAGCGAACA
This 422-nucleotide ribosomal RNA is filed under the name uncultured prokaryote. RNAcentral describes it as "bacterial SSU rRNA". It matches the Rfam family "Bacterial small subunit ribosomal RNA", at positions 355 to 774 of the family's 1533-position model. The record is from RNAcentral.